UACGUAGGGGGCAAGCGUUGUCCGGAUUUAUUGGGUUUAAAGGGAGCGUAGGCCGGAGAUUAAGUGUGUUGUGAAAUGUAGACGCUCAACGUCUGACUUGCAGCGCAUACUGGUUUCCUUGAGUACGCACAACGUUGGCGGAAUUCGUCGUGUAGCGGUGAAAUGCUUAGAUAUGACGAAGAACUCCGAUUGCGAAGGCAGCUGACGGGAGCGCAACUGACGCUUAAGCUCGAAGGUGCGGGUAUCGAACAGGAUUAGAUACCCCGGUAGUCC
Molecule: ribosomal RNA, 273 nt
Filed under: uncultured Prevotella sp.
Lineage: Bacteria; Pseudomonadati; Bacteroidota; Bacteroidia; Bacteroidales; Prevotellaceae
Description: partial 16S ribosomal RNA
Rfam family: Bacterial small subunit ribosomal RNA
Source: RNAcentral